CCGGCCGCCGCAGCCGCCUCCGCAACACCCUUUGACGAUGCACCGGUCGUGAACGUAAUAUAUAAUAAUGUGUACCGGCGGUAAUAGCAGCGUGUAACACCUCACCCCCCGACCACGGGUUCAACGUUCAACCCUUUGGCCGUGUACGCACUCGCCGCUCAAACAUUAUUAUAAUAUUGCGUACGACCUGCGUACAUAAUAUAAUAUUAUAUGGUUAUCGUUAUUUAUUGUUACGACGUCCGGGGACCUAUAGCCUGCACGGUGUUCACGCCUAGUUAGGUAGUGCAGUACCCGCAGCAGCAGCAGUCGAACUACGGAUUGGGUAUCAAGAAAUUGAUUUAAUAAACACGUCCGUGUCACCUUCCCUCCCGACCCUACAUCAACGAAGGUUAUUUAUCAAUUGAAUAUGUGGCUGGACGAGGGAGAUUAAUACAUUCCUUCAAAAAACGUUACUUGGGCUUUGUCGUUUCUAUCGGACGAAAUAAUUACUAACACGCAAUUCAAAAUUUUUUUAUUCGUCUUAUAUGUUGGUGAAUUCAAUACGAAUACUGAAUACGUCCAAUAAAUAGGACCGUUGAAAGCACCGAGCCGUUGUCAUGUUUCAUAUACAUCGGCAAUAACAAUGGAUUCAUCAUCGAUUCUAUAUACACAUUCUGAGGUACCUGCUUCAAACAUUAUAAAAAUCUGUGUGCCAUAUGAAGGGAAGCCCUACUUCUGGGAACUGCAAGCCAACUAUGUGUUCACUUCUUGUCAACGUCUAUGUAAAAAGUACCCUCUGACCACUGCCUGUAAAAUCAAAGUGAAUUAUAAUUUGGAUAAACAAAGAUAUAUAUACGUAAACAUAAUUAUAUAUCGAAGCAUUAUUAUAUUAUAUUUUACGCAAAUGUUAUAAAAUAAAUUACAAGUCAGAUCGUUAAGAUUUUACGGGGAGAUCAAAUAUGUGAGUUAGGAAAAGGUCGAGAGAUCUUAUACGGUUCUUAAUAAGAACUCCCCAUUUCUUUUAAUCGUGUAUAUUUCUUAUCACACCUCGAAUGUGUUUAAUUUUUCACACACACUAAAUGCAUUGAUUUUGUAUCUGAUUUAAUUUUUAUCUAAACACAUAGAAUACAAUUAACUACUAAGUUAAAAAAAAUUACAAAAAAAAAAAAUAAAACAUAAUUUACAUAGGUAUAUGUAUAAUAUAUUAUGAUUAAAAAAAAACAUUAUAAUGAAAAUAAUGUUAAAUUUAAAUAUUCUCGUGUAUUUAUAAGUCUAAAGAGUAGUAAAGACAAUAACUUAAUUGAGUAUCACCACGAAGAUUACACGCAAUUAUAUUAAUCAUAUUUGUGUAAAUAGGUAGACAAGAUAAAACGUAUGCAAAUAGAAUACUCAUAUAUUGUUUA
Aphis gossypii (cotton aphid) is the source of this 1382-nucleotide long non-coding RNA. RefSeq lists it as uncharacterized. NCBI's taxonomy places the organism in Eukaryota, Metazoa, Arthropoda, Insecta, Hemiptera, Aphididae. The transcript has 5 exons. The record is from RefSeq and is a predicted model, not a curated record.